AUUGAACGCUGGCGGCAGGCUUAACACAUGCAAGUCGAGCGGGGGAAGGUAGCUUGCUACCGGACCUAGCGGCGGACGGGUGAGUAAUGCUUAGGAAUCUGCCUAUUAGUGGGGGACAACAUCUCGAAAGGGAUGCUAAUACCGCAUACGUCCUACGGGAGAAAGCAGGGGAUCUUCGGACCUUGCGCUAAUAGAUGAGCCUAAGUCGGAUUAGCUAGUUGGUGGGGUAAAGGCCUACCAAGGCGACGAUCUGUAGCGGGUCUGAGAGGAUGAUCCACCACACUGGGACUGAGACACGGCCCAGACUCCUACGGGAGGCAGCAGUGGGGAAUAUUGGACAAUGGGGGGAACCCUGAUCCAGCCAUGCCGCGUGUGUGAAGAAGGCCUUAUGGUUGUAAAGCACUUUAAGCGAGGAGGAGGCUACUUUAGUUAAUACCUAGAGAUAGUGGACGUUACUCGCAGAAUAAGCACCGGCUAACUCUGUGCCAGCAGCCGCGGUAAUACAGAGGGUGCGAGCGUUAAUCGGAUUUACUGGGCGUAAAGCGUGCGUAGGCGGCUUAUUAAGUCGGAUGUGAAAUCCCCGAGCUUAACUUGGGAAUUGCAUUCGAUACUGGUGAGCUAGAGUAUGGGAGAGGAUGGUAGAAUUCCAGGUGUAGCGGUGAAAUGCGUAGAGAUCUGGAGGAAUACCGAUGGCGAAAGCAGCCAUCUGGCCUAAUACUGACGC
RNAcentral lists this ribosomal RNA (724 nucleotides) under Acinetobacter baumannii Canada BC-5. RNAcentral's name for it is "bacterial SSU rRNA". It matches the Rfam family "Bacterial small subunit ribosomal RNA", at positions 28 to 746 of the family's 1533-position model. The record is from RNAcentral. Lineage: Bacteria; Pseudomonadati; Pseudomonadota; Gammaproteobacteria; Moraxellales; Moraxellaceae.